AUUGAACGCUGGCGGCAGGCCUAACACAUGCAAGUCGAACGGUAACAGGAAGAAGCUUGCUUCUUUGCUGACGAGUGGCGGACGGGUGAGUAAUGUCUGGGAAACUGCCUGAUGGAGGGGGAUAACUACUGGAAACGGUAGCUAAUACCGCAUAACGUCGCAAGACCAAAGAGGGGGACCUUCGGGCCUCUUGCCAUCGGAUGUGCCCAGCUGGGAUUAGCUAGUAGGUGGGGUAACGGCUCACCUAGGCGACGAUCCCUAGCUGGUCUGAGUGGAUGACCGGCCACACUGGAACUGAGCCACGGUCCAGACUCCUACGGGAGGCAGCAGUGGGGAAUAUUGCACAAUGGGCGCAAGCCUGAUGCAGCCAUGCCGCGUGUAUGAAGAAGGCCUUCGGGUUGUAAAGUACUUUCAGCGGGGAGGAAGGGAGUAAAGUUAAUACCUUUGCUCAUUGACGUUACCCGCAGAAGAAGCACCGGCUAACUCCGUG
RNAcentral lists this ribosomal RNA (490 nucleotides) under uncultured bacterium. RNAcentral's name for it is "partial 16S ribosomal RNA". It matches the Rfam family "Bacterial small subunit ribosomal RNA", at positions 30 to 507 of the family's 1533-position model. The record is from RNAcentral.